GACGAACGCUGGCGGCGUGCUUAAUACAUGCAAGUCGAACGGAAAGGCCCUGCUUUUGUUGGGUGCUCGAGUGGCGAACGGGUGAGUAACACGUGAGUAACCUGCCCUUGACUUUGGGAUAACUUCAGGAAACUGGGGCUAAUACCGGAUAGGAUCUCCUGCUGCAUGGUGGGGGUUGGAAAGAUUCGGCGGUUGGGGCUGGACUCGCGGCUUAUGAGCUUGUUGGUGGGGUAGUGGCUUACCAAGGCUUUGACGGGUAGCCGGCCUGAGAGGGUGACCGGCCACAUUGGGACUGAGAUACGGCCCAGACGCCUACGGGAGGCAGCAGUGGGGAAUAUUGCACAAUGGGCGGAAGCCUGAUGCAGCAACGCCGCGUGCGGGAUGACGGCCUUCGGGUUGUAAACCGCUUUCGCCUGAGACGAAGCGUGAGUGACGGUAAUGGGUAAAGAAGCACCGGCUAACUACGUG
Molecule: ribosomal RNA, 468 nt
Filed under: uncultured bacterium
Lineage: Bacteria
Description: partial 16S ribosomal RNA
Rfam family: Bacterial small subunit ribosomal RNA
Source: RNAcentral